CAUCCGGUGAAACCUAUUGCAGUCGGUGAUGUCGUGGUCAUCGUUGAUUCCGAUUUGCCCCGUAACCUGUGGCCGAAGGGGCGAGUGGUUAAGGUCAACGAGCAUGCCGGCCAAGUUCGUAGUGCAACUGUGCGGACUUUGUCAAACGUGUACGAACGACCUGCUGUGAAAUUGGCGGUUCUUGACAUCGGUGCAACAGAGUGUAAGCCAGGAACGGGAUCAGGCUUACCGGGGGGGAGUGUCACGUCACCUACGGACGCACCGCAGUCACGCAUCGAACCCCCACAUCAUUCGCCGUCACUGACAGGCGAGAAACGUCAAGGUGGUAAAGUGCAUGACCAGCAAUAACAGAGUUUGGUGACUAGGCGUUUAAUCAGUAACAAACAAAUAAACAAUUUACAACAAAUUUAUUAAAGUUUAGUUACAAUUACAGUACAAUUUAAACAAAUAACACUGGAUUACACUACACUCGUUUGCAAGGAACACUUCAAAUCAAUUUAUAGCUUCGCGCAGGUAUUGAUUCGUGGCGUAAACCUAAUUCGUCUGCUAAAUUGAGCAGUUUCACAGUUAGUGCCUAAUAAUACUUGAAACAGGUAACAGUAAGUGCUAGCAAUACCGUACGGCACCCGAAUUUCGGACUGAACACAAAUAAUUACUAAAAAGGCAUUAAACGUAAGUUGAAAUUUAAGAUUAUAUUCAAUGAAACACAAUGCACACAUAUAUUAUAAGUAAUCAAAUCCCUAAAUGCAUGAAUUGUCUUUACUACAGGGA
Molecule: long non-coding RNA, 771 nt
Organism: Uranotaenia lowii
Lineage: Eukaryota; Metazoa; Arthropoda; Insecta; Diptera; Culicidae
Exons: 3
Source: RefSeq, a predicted model, not a curated record